This 484-nucleotide ribosomal RNA is filed under the name uncultured bacterium. RNAcentral describes it as "partial 16S ribosomal RNA". It matches the Rfam family "Bacterial small subunit ribosomal RNA", at positions 30 to 507 of the family's 1533-position model. The record is from RNAcentral.
AUUGAACGCUGGCGGCAGGCCUAACACAUGCAAGUCGAGCGGAUGAAGGGAGCUUGCUCCUGGAUUCAGCGGCGGACGGGUGAGUAAUGCCUAGGAAUCUGCCUGGUAGUGGGGGAUAACGUCCGGAAACGGGCGCUAAUACCGCAUACGUCCUGAGGGAGAAAGUGGGGGAUCUUCGGACCUCACGCUAUCAGAUGAGCCUAGGUCGGAUUAGCUAGUUGGUGGGGUAAAGGCCUACCAAGGCGACGAUCCGUAACUGGUCUGAGAGGAUGACCAGUCACAAUGGAACUGAGACACGGUCCAGACUCCUACGGGAGGCAGCAGUGGGGAAUAUUGGACAAUGGGCGAAAGCCUGAUCCAGCCAUGCCGCGUGUGUGAAGAAGGUCUUCGGAUUGUAAAGCACUUUAAGUUGGGAGGAAGGGCAGUAAGUUAAUACCUUGCUGUUUUGACGUUACCAACAGAAUAAGCACCGGCUAACUUCGUG